RNAcentral lists this ribosomal RNA (460 nucleotides) under uncultured bacterium. RNAcentral's name for it is "partial 16S ribosomal RNA". It matches the Rfam family "Bacterial small subunit ribosomal RNA", at positions 28 to 507 of the family's 1533-position model. The record is from RNAcentral.
GAUGAACGCUGGCGGCAUGCCUAACACAUGCAAGUCGGACGGGUAGAGGUGUCUCUCGCGGCGGUUGGGUGAGUAACGGGUAAGUAAUUGCCAUUGGGAUGGCUACAAUAACUGGAUACGGUUGCUAAUAGCCCGCUGAUCGAGGAGCAAAAGGAGGAAUGAGCCUGAGGAGUGGCCAGGGUUUGAUUUGAUAGCUGGUGCGGUAAUGGCUUACCAAGGCGAUGAUCAGUAGCCGACCCGAGAGGACGAUCGGCCACACUGGAACUGAGAGACGGCCCAGACUGCUACGGGAGGACGCAGCAGGGACCUUCGGGCAACGGGAGAAAGCAUUAUUCAGCAAUGGGGGGUGGGUGAAGAAGGCAUUGGGAUGGUAAAGUACAGUGACUAGGGAUGAAGAACUGUUUGUCUAGGAGAAGAUGCAUUGACGGUAUCUAAGGAAUAAGCAACGGCUAACUCUGUG